RNAcentral lists this long non-coding RNA (208 nucleotides) under Drosophila guanche. The record is from RNAcentral. Lineage: Eukaryota; Metazoa; Arthropoda; Insecta; Diptera; Drosophilidae.
UCUAUAGUCUGGGCCUUAUACUGUCAACGGCCUACUCGGGAAACCUUUUUAAAUAACUCAUAUGCAGAGGGUUGCCUAGGAACUCCCGAUGAUCCUCAAAGUCCUUGAGGAAAGUAUUCUCCCACCAUGUAGUAGCAAAUUUCUGGCAAUUCUCUGCUCUGUAUUGUAUCUGCAUAACGUAACGCACAGAAGGAAGCGUUUCCGACCC